This 490-nucleotide ribosomal RNA is filed under the name uncultured soil bacterium. RNAcentral describes it as "bacterial SSU rRNA". It matches the Rfam family "Bacterial small subunit ribosomal RNA", at positions 26 to 490 of the family's 1533-position model. The record is from RNAcentral.
AGAGUGAACGCUGGCGGUAGGCCUAACACAUGCAAGUCGAACGGCAGCACGGUAAGAGCUUGCUCUUAUGGGUGGCGAGUGGCGGACGGGUGAGGAAUACAUCGGAAUCUACCUUUUGGUGGGGGAUAACGUAGGGAAACUUACGCUAAUACCGCAUACGCCCUUCGGGGGAAAGCCGGGGACCAGCAAUGGCCUGGCGCUGAUAGAUGAGCCGAUGUCGGAUUAGCUAGUUGGUGAGGUAAUGGCUCACCAAGGCGACGAUCCGUAGCUGGUCUGAGAGGAUGAUCAGCCACACUGGAACUGAGACACGGUCCAGACUCCUACGGGAGCAGCAGUGGGAAUAGUUGGACAAUGGGCGCAAGCCUGAUCCAGCCAUACCGCGUAGGGUGAAAGAGGCCGUUACGGGUUGUAAACGGUCCCUUUUAGGUUACGGAAAAGAAAAGCGUAAUCGGUUAAAUACCCGGUUGUUCGUAGAACCGGUAACCAAAAG